AUUUAAACUGACCAUGUCGUCGCUGCUGUCGGUUUGGACGUAAACACGGAUUUGGCUGUCGCUUUUGGAUUGAAAUAGAUUCCAAUUUUGGUGGUUAUCGAGUCAAUGCUGAGCUUUAAGCACGGCCAAACGUCCGGUUGUUUAUUUUUUAUUAGGCUGGAGAUGCUGCCUUCUUUUGUGAUAGCAAAUUGGUUCGUCAUCUUAUGAAACAUCACCACCAUGCUGUUGUAUUAGGGCGAUUGGCUGGAGAGAAGAAUACUGGCAACGAAACACGGAUGAACAACUGCAGUGCACUGUCUCCAAGUGCAUUCUUCUUCGUAUUAUUAGUACGCAAUCGGUUGAUUGUGAUGUCGUGAUGUUGCUGUUUGCCGUGUCGUUGAAGGCUGGGUCGAUCACUGGUGUACCGAUGUCUCCUGGGUGUGGCGGAUACCAAAGUACCACGCCGCCGCCUUACUACACAACGACAACAUUCGCAAGAACCGGUUACUACACUGAGGCAUACAAUUACUACACCAAUAAGGCUCCAGAGUAUUACAUAGUAGCUAAUGCUGCCCCGAGUUACAUCAUCAAACGUACUACACCGAGGCUCCCAAGUACUACACCACCAAGUCACCGGAGUAAUACACGUAUGUUGCCCAGCUUACUACACCGAGGCUCCAACUUAUUACACCACUAAAGCGGCUGAACACUACACCAAGCCACCUAAGUACUACACCAACAAGGCUCCAGAAUAUUACACCACAACUUGCGCUUCCCCGAGCCACUACACCGAAGCCCCGAAGUAUUACUCUGCCCCAAGCUACAC
This is a long non-coding RNA of Daphnia pulicaria, 805 nucleotides long. RefSeq lists it as uncharacterized. The record is from RefSeq and is a predicted model, not a curated record. The transcript is spliced from 3 exons. Lineage: Eukaryota; Metazoa; Arthropoda; Branchiopoda; Diplostraca; Daphniidae.